RNAcentral lists this transfer RNA (73 nucleotides) under Camelus bactrianus (Bactrian camel). It matches the Rfam family "tRNA". From Rfam's summary of the family: Transfer RNA (tRNA) molecules are approximately 80 nucleotides in length. Their secondary structure includes four short double-helical elements and three loops (D, anti-codon, and T loops). Lineage: Eukaryota; Metazoa; Chordata; Mammalia; Artiodactyla; Camelidae. The record is from Rfam by way of RNAcentral. RNAcentral also lists the same sequence under 2 other names.
GAGGGUAUAGCUCAAGUGGUAAAGUGCAUGCUUAGCAUGCAUAAGGUCGUGGGUUCAAUCCCCAGUACCUCCC